RNAcentral lists this long non-coding RNA (233 nucleotides) under Capsicum annuum. RNAcentral describes it as "long non-coding RNA (CANN_LNC000970)". The record is from RNAcentral. Lineage: Eukaryota; Viridiplantae; Streptophyta; Magnoliopsida; Solanales; Solanaceae.
UGCAGAUUGAUGCACUUUUGGACCCCUAGAAUGUCUUGGGCACAUGUAGACUUUAAGAGUGGCUAAUCGACUCUUUCAAAACACCAAUAAAUUUGAAAAAGACCCAAAAAAGUAACCAAUAGGCGUGUGGUUGUCCUAAAGGUUAUUAUCCUGUAAAGCGGGCUCAUUUUAGUACUCUUGUGCCUUAGAAAUAUUCUGAACAACAAAUUCCAGAGAGGUAGGGUGAUUUUGAG